This 1500-nucleotide ribosomal RNA is filed under the name metagenome. Its description in RNAcentral is "bacterial SSU rRNA". It matches the Rfam family "Bacterial small subunit ribosomal RNA". The record is from RNAcentral.
AGAGUUUGAUCAUGGCUCAGAUUGAACGCUGGCGGCAGGCCUAACACAUGCAAGUCGAACGGUAACAGGAAGCAGCUUGCUGCUUCGCUGACGAGUGGCGGACGGGUGAGUAAUGUCUGGGAAGCUGCCUGAUGGAGGGGGAUAACUACUGGAAACGGUAGCUAAUACCGCAUAAUGUCGCAAGACCAAAGAGGGGGACCUUCGGGCCUCUUGCCAUCGGAUGUGCCCAGAUGGGAUUAGCUUGUUGGUGGGGUAACGGCUCACCAAGGCGACGAUCCCUAGCUGGUCUGAGAGGAUGACCAGCCACACUGGAACUGAGACACGGUCCAGACUCCUACGGGAGGCAGCAGUGGGGAAUAUUGCACAAUGGGCGCAAGCCUGAUGCAGCCAUGCCGCGUGUAUGAAGAAGGCCUUCGGGUUGUAAAGUACUUUCAGCGGGGAGGAAGGGAGUAAAGUUAAUACCUUUGCUCAUUGACGUUACCCGCAGAAGAAGCACCGGCUAACUCCGUGCCAGCAGCCGCGGUAAUACGGAGGGUGCAAGCGUUAAUCGGAAUUACUGGGCGUAAAGCGCACGCAGGCGGUUUGUUAAGUCAGAUGUGAAAUCCCCGGGCUCAACCUGGGAACUGCAUCUGAUACUGGCAAGCUUGAGUCUCGUAGAGGGGGGUAGAAUUCCAGGUGUAGCGGUGAAAUGCGUAGAGAUCUGGAGGAAUACCGGUGGCGAAGGCGGCCCCCUGGACGAAGACUGACGCUCAGGUGCGAAAGCGUGGGGAGCAAACAGGAUUAGAUACCCUGGUAGUCCACGCCGUAAACGAUGUCGACUUGGAGGUUGUGCCCUUGAGGCGUGGCUUCCGGAGCUAACGCGUUAAGUCGACCGCCUGGGGAGUACGGCCGCAAGGUUAAAACUCAAAUGAAUUGACGGGGGCCCGCACAAGCGGUGGAGCAUGUGGUUUAAUUCGAUGCAACGCGAAGAACCUUACCUGGUCUUGACAUCCACGGAAGUUUUCAGAGAUGAGAAUGUGCCUUCGGGAACCGUGAGACAGGUGCUGCAUGGCUGUCGUCAGCUCGUGUUGUGAAAUGUUGGGUUAAGUCCCGCAACGAGCGCAACCCUUAUCCUUUGUUGCCAGCGGUCCGGCCGGGAACUCAAAGGAGACUGCCAGUGAUAAACUGGAGGAAGGUGGGGAUGACGUCAAGUCAUCAUGGCCCUUACGACCAGGGCUACACACGUGCUACAAUGGCGCAUACAAAGAGAAGCGACCUCGCGAGAGCAAGCGGACCUCAUAAAGUGCGUCGUAGUCCGGAUUGGAGUCUGCAACUCGACUCCAUGAAGUCGGAAUCGCUAGUAAUCGUGGAUCAGAAUGCCACGGUGAAUACGUUCCCGGGCCUUGUACACACCGCCCGUCACACCAUGGGAGUGGGUUGCAAAAGAAGUAGGUAGCUUAACCUUCGGGAGGGCGCUUACCGCUUUGUGAUUCAUGACUGGGGUGAAGUCGUAACAAGGUA